Molecule: long non-coding RNA, 829 nt
Filed under: Mytilus galloprovincialis (Mediterranean mussel)
Lineage: Eukaryota; Metazoa; Mollusca; Bivalvia; Mytilida; Mytilidae
Source: RNAcentral
AUGAUUUUCUUUAAAUAUUUUAUAUUUUUAGAAUAUGUUAUAUUUUUUGGAAAAAUAAAUGUCAGGGUCCAUAACUGUUUCUUUACCAUUUUUAAGUUCAUCAUUGAUCAACAACAAAGACUAUAAAAUAAUCCAUAGAAAACACGAGAGAAGACUUCCUCAUGUUUGAGAUGCGAUAAUUUUUAACACAGCGAUAAUAAUCAUGAACAAAUACCUGCAUCACAUUUAGUAAACUACAUAAACGUUGUACAUUUCUACUAGAUCAACCAUAUACUUGUGCCAUUCAGCAUGUUAAAAUUAUAUCAAAUUGAAUAGCUAUCUGCUAUACUUAUGCAUGUUAUUUUUCAUAUUGUACACUAAAUGUUUUUUUUUUUUCUAUUUUGACAGAUGGUUGUCUAAUGUUAUAUAUCUGUAAUGUAAUGCCCUAUUUAAUGAAAACGAUGCAUUGAUCCCUAUAUGUCAGUAUUCAAAACAGAUAUACUAAUGUAACUACUCUUACAUUCCGUGAAAUUUGUCCACUAUACAAACCACAGGCUAUAAAAGGUUUUAUGUACUACAUUGGCAGGAUCAAUUUUGCAAGUUAUGCCAAUAUCAGCAUAAUUUAAAAGUAGUUUUACCUUCCUCUAAUAAAAAGUCCAAAUUAUAUAUUGUUUUUAACUUUUUUUCACACACUGCUUUCAAAGUGCCCCUCCCUCUUAAAACCAGUUAAGAUAAGUGACUUACGAUCACAAAUUAGAUAUAUAGUGGUGAUGUACUUAUACUCUGACAUCAAUUGCUUUUUGAUAUAUAAACCAAUAUAUACAUGAUAUAUCGCCACCGUGUACAUCCU